GCCCUAUAAUAUUGGCUGAUAUAAAUUAUAAAAUUCAUGAUAUUAUUCAAUAUGAUAUAUUCGUAUCAUUCAAUAUUUUUCAAUCAUUUUUUAUUUUAAAAUUAUUUUUAGACAAUAAAUAUUGAAAUUAAUAUUUUAAUAUUGUUGGUAGCAUUGGAUUUAGCAUAUCAGAAAGGAUUUCAAUCUCCCGCCCCUAAAAUGUCAGCC
RNAcentral lists this long non-coding RNA (207 nucleotides) under Elaeis guineensis (African oil palm). RNAcentral's name for it is "long non-coding RNA (EGUI_LNC038144)". Lineage: Eukaryota; Viridiplantae; Streptophyta; Magnoliopsida; Arecales; Arecaceae. The record is from RNAcentral.